AUUGAACGCUGGCGGCAGGCCUAACACAUGCAAGUCGAACGGUAACAGAGAGCAGCUUGCUGCUCUGCUGACGAGUGGCGGACGGGUGAGUAAUGUCUGGGAAACUGCCUGAUGGAGGGGGAUAACUACUGGAAACGGUAGCUAAUACCGCAUAACGUCUACGGACCAAAGUGGGGGACCUUCGGGCCUCAUGCCAUCAGAUGUGCCCAGAUGGGAUUAGCUAGUAGGUGGGGUAACGGCUCACCUAGGCGACGAUCCCUAGCUGGUCUGAGAGGAUGACCAGCCACACUGGAACUGAGACACGGUCCAGACUCCUACGGGAGGCAGCAGUGGGGAAUAUUGCACAAUGGGCGCAAGCCUGAUGCAGCCAUGCCGCGUGUAUGAAGAAGGCCUUCGGGUUGUAAAGUACUUUCAGCGGGGAGGAAGGUGUUGUGGUUAAUAACCACAGCAAUUGACGUUACCCGCAGAAGAAGCACCGGCUAACUCCGUGCCAGCAGCCGCGGUAAUACGGAGGGUGCAAGCGUUAAUCGGAAUUACUGGGCGUAAAGCGCACGCAGGCGGUCUGUUAAGUCAGAUGUGAAAUCCCCGGGCUCAACCUGGGAACUGCAUUUGAAACUGGCAGGCUUGAGUCUCGUAGAGGGGGGUAGAAUUCCAGGU
Molecule: ribosomal RNA, 657 nt
Filed under: Cronobacter sakazakii
Lineage: Bacteria; Pseudomonadati; Pseudomonadota; Gammaproteobacteria; Enterobacterales; Enterobacteriaceae
Description: bacterial SSU rRNA
Rfam family: Bacterial small subunit ribosomal RNA
Source: RNAcentral